GGCUGAAUAGCUCGUUGGUAAGAGCAGUCGCCCGGCAAGCGAAAGACUCGGGUUCGAUUCCCGAUUCAGCGA
RNAcentral lists this transfer RNA (72 nucleotides) under Camponotus floridanus (Florida carpenter ant). It matches the Rfam family "tRNA". Rfam says of the family: Transfer RNA (tRNA) molecules are approximately 80 nucleotides in length. Their secondary structure includes four short double-helical elements and three loops (D, anti-codon, and T loops). The record is from Rfam by way of RNAcentral. Lineage: Eukaryota; Metazoa; Arthropoda; Insecta; Hymenoptera; Formicidae.